This 114-nucleotide ribosomal RNA is filed under the name Heterocephalus glaber (naked mole-rat). The record is from RNAcentral. Lineage: Eukaryota; Metazoa; Chordata; Mammalia; Rodentia; Bathyergidae.
GUUCAUGGCCAUACCACCUUGAACACACCUGAUCUCAGAAGCUAAGCAGGGUCAGGCCUGGUUAGUACUUGGAUGGGAGAAGUGAGUCUGGCUGAAGCCUACAUGCCAAGGUCA